GACGAACGCUGGCGGCGUACUUAACACAUGCAAGUCGAGCGGUAAGGCCCUUUCGGGGUACGACGAGCGGCGAACGGGUAGAGUAACAACGUGGGUGGACCUCGCCCUCCAGCUCUGGGAGUAAGACCUCGGGAAACCGGGGUACGUAAUAACCGGAGUAUGACUCCAUGACGCAUGUUGUGGGGUGGGAAAGACCUUGUGCGGCUGAGGA
Molecule: ribosomal RNA, 211 nt
Filed under: uncultured bacterium
Lineage: Bacteria
Description: partial 16S ribosomal RNA
Rfam family: Bacterial small subunit ribosomal RNA
Source: RNAcentral